Long non-coding RNA from Osmerus eperlanus (European smelt), 1494 nucleotides. RefSeq lists it as uncharacterized. The transcript has 5 exons. NCBI's taxonomy places the organism in Eukaryota, Metazoa, Chordata, Actinopteri, Osmeriformes, Osmeridae. The record is from RefSeq and is a predicted model, not a curated record.
CUCAAACGUGGAGAAGAGAACGUGUGUGCAGUGUAUGUAAUGACGGGAUUGUGUGAGAGAACCUGAAAAACCGGAUACUUUGUCACUGAAGAAUGCAAAUGAUCGUCAUUGCAUUGUAAUUGAUCUCCUGACUAGAAUCUCUUGGUGUCUGCUGCGUACAGGCGGUUUUAACUUUAGAUCUGUACAGUGAAUCCACCACAUUUUCAAAGUCUUCCUCUUCGCUGGACUACGCACAAAUCCAUUUAGGAUUUUUUUACCCAACCUUUUGGAUGAUGAGGACCCUUUGGAUUUUUGUUUUGUGUUCCUUUGAGGUACUCACUGCUCAACCCAAAAACGAGGACACAUAUAUUCUUUGUGAGACUUGUUUAGAAACAGCAAAAGAAAUGGAGAGGGUCCUGCAGGAAACAAAGGCAGAGAGCAGACAGGAUGUGAUUGAGAAACUGAUCAAUGGAGAAGUGUGUGAAAGAGCUCCAUUCCACAAGCAUAGCCAUCUGGCUGAAGACAAGCUGAGAUCUUUCUGCCAGAAACUGUUAGAUGUCUACCAUGUUGAGUUCCGCACAGCUUUGCAAGGAAAAGCACCAGAACGCAUGGACAUUGGUCUGUGUUAUGAACAUUCCACUGCAUGUGUUGGAGUGAAACGUCAAUCUUUCCAGGCUUUUCUCUUUAUGUUGGCAGGAAAACACCAAACCUCCUUUCAUGGACAGUCACAUUCAAAUGCUACUUCAAAACAAUAAAGACAAAGUGCGCAUGCCUCGUCCUGUACGACCCGCUACCUCUACAACCUCAAAAGAUGAAUUGUAACAUGUAUUACCAAAGUGGUGGGUUGUUUGAUUGAGGUCGUCAUGAUUUGGAUGAACUUUCAAGUCCGAGAAGUCCAGGAACAAUUACUUAAAUGUAUCCUGUCAUCAUUGGUUUUCUUAGAACUAUUUAAAUGCCACUCAACUACAUACAUUUAUGCAGCAGAUUUUAUUUGGGCAUUAAAAACAUUUGGGGAUUUGGGAUUACUGUGCCAGAAAUCAGGAUACUCACUGCACACACCCACACACACUCAUGUACACACCCACUUGAGAAGAAAGCUCUAUUUUCAAUUACUAUUAUGUAACACUUAUUUUGUUUUUAGAUUGGUUGGGACCAGUAUAGCAUGGGCAAAGUAGAUGUAAGUUAACUUGCUGGCUACAGUAGUUAUCAGAAAAUAUGUAUUGUCACUGGAGCCACAGCAGUCAUGCUGUACUGUUACUUCGGAACAGUUCUGUUGCAGAAAUUUUGGAUUGUCAAUUCAAAAUAUGCCUGGCUUAGUUUUUCAUUCUACAUAAUAGUUUGUUUACAUAUUUUGACCUCAGUAUGAACAAUACUUGAACAAAACUUCAGAUCAAAUGUUGGUAAUUGUAACCACACAUGUUGCUUGGUUUUAAUAUGGAUGCUGAUGUUAAAACUGUAAGGCUACUCGUGUAAGUGCCUUGGCUAUGUACCAUAAAGAUUAUUAUUGAUACAUUA